This 452-nucleotide long non-coding RNA is filed under the name Mytilus galloprovincialis (Mediterranean mussel). Lineage: Eukaryota; Metazoa; Mollusca; Bivalvia; Mytilida; Mytilidae. The record is from RNAcentral.
AUUUAUUUUGUCUGUUGGUUGCUUGGCUAUCGUAAGCUAAUCGAUUUACCUCACAUUUUGAAGUUGGAUAUAUAUAUAUAGAGAUUGUUUUUAUAUAAAUGCCGUAUCCUUGUACUUUGGUUUCCUGUCGGGUUUUCUCAAUUUUAAAUUUGGAACUUUUAUCAUUUGUUUUGCAUAAUUAUUAUUUUUGACUUGCAAAUGAACGAUUAAUAAAUCUAGUCCCAUGUGUGCUAGCGAAAUGUCUUUAGUGUAAUCUCGGAGUGUUAUUUUCAUUUCAACUUUUACGUUUGCAUCAGGAAGACCUAAACACGAAAACUUUCUUUUUUUUAAGAAUGACAUUCGUUACUUCAAACAAAAAUCGCUUUUAUCGUUUGUUUUUUUUUUGCAGUAAAAGACCGGUUUAUUAAAAAAAAACUUUCUUACAAUCGACUGAACGAAGUAUAAGCUUCGGG